RNAcentral lists this ribosomal RNA (486 nucleotides) under uncultured bacterium. Its description in RNAcentral is "partial 16S ribosomal RNA". It matches the Rfam family "Bacterial small subunit ribosomal RNA", at positions 30 to 507 of the family's 1533-position model. The record is from RNAcentral.
AUUGAACGCUGGCGGCAUGCCUUACACAUGCAAGUCGAACGGCAGCACGGGUGCUUGCACCUGGUGGCGAGUGGCGAACGGGUGAGUAAUACAUCGGAACAUGUCCUGUAGUGGGGGAUAGCCCGGCGAAAGCCGGAUUAAUACCGCAUACGAUCUACGGAUGAAAGCGGGGGACCUUCGGGCCUCGCGCUAUAGGGUUGGCCGAUGGCUGAUUAGCUAGUUGGUGGGGUAAAGGCCUACCACGGCGACGAUCAGUAGCUGGUCUGAGAGGACGACCAGCCACACUGGGACUGAGACACGGCCCAGACUCCUACGGGAGGCAGCAGUGGGGAAUUUUGGACAAUGGGCGAAAGCCUGAUCCAGCAAUGCCGCGUGUGUGAAGAAGGCCUUCGGGUUGUAAAGCACUUUUGUCCGGAAAGAAAUCCUUGGCCCUAAUACGGUCGGGGGAUGACGGUACCGGAAGAAUAAGCACCGGCUAACUACGUG